UGGGGAAUAUUGCACAAUGGAGGGAACUCUGAUGCAGCAACGCCGCGUGCGGGAUGACGGCCUUCGGGUUGUAAACCGCUUUCAGCCAUGACGAAGCUUUUGUGACGGUAGUGGUAGAAGAAGCACCGGCUAACUACGUGCCAGCAGCCGCGGUGAUACGUAGGGUGCGAGCGUUGUCCGGAAUUAUUGGGCGUAAAGAGCUUGUAGGCGGUUUGUCGCGUCGAUAGUGUAAACACGCAGCUUAACUGUGUGCCUGCUGUCGAUACGGGCUUACUAGAGGAGGGUAGGGGAGAAUGGAAUUCCCGGUGGGGCGGUGGAAUGCGCAGAUAUCGGGAGGAACACCAGUGGCGAAGGCGGUUCUCUGGACCUUUCCUGACGCUGAGAAGCGAAAGCGUGGGUAGCAAACAGG
This 409-nucleotide ribosomal RNA is filed under the name Fusobacteriota bacterium. Its description in RNAcentral is "Fusobacteria bacterium partial 16S ribosomal RNA". It matches the Rfam family "Bacterial small subunit ribosomal RNA", at positions 355 to 776 of the family's 1533-position model. Lineage: Bacteria; Fusobacteriati; Fusobacteriota. The record is from RNAcentral.